UACGAAUCGUCCAAACGUUGUUCGGAUUUACUGGGUUUAAAGGGCGCGUAGGCGGUGCGCUAAGUCGGUGGUGAAAUCCUUCGGCUCAACCGGAGAAUUGCCGCUGAAACUGGCGUGCUCGAGGGAGGUAGAGGUGCGUGGAACUUCCGGUGGAGCGGUGAAAUGCGUUGAUAUCGGAAGGAACACCUGUGGCGAAAGCGAUGCACUGGACCUCUUCUGACGCUGAGGCGCGAAAGCCAGGGGAGCGAACGGG
This 253-nucleotide ribosomal RNA is filed under the name uncultured bacterium. Its description in RNAcentral is "partial 16S ribosomal RNA". It matches the Rfam family "Bacterial small subunit ribosomal RNA", at positions 524 to 776 of the family's 1533-position model. The record is from RNAcentral.